AAGUGAAACUGAAGUGAAGAUUGACUGAGCAGGGAGAAUUUAUAGUAAAAAAAAAGGACUUAAAUAUUGAUCUGUUUCUCACCCACAUCUAUCAUAUCGCUUCAGAAGACAUUGAUUUUACCACUGGAGUCAUCUGGACAGAUGAAAGAAAGUCAUAAACAUCUGGAAUGGCAUGAGGAGGAUACCGGGCACCUUCCCCACAUGUCUUACCACCAUGCGCAGCCGAUUGUUUCCCGUCAGGACUUUUACCGCACUACUCAUGGUGAUGCUCUCCAGGCUAAUGCUGUUGACCUUUACAAGCUUAUCCCCAACAC
This is a long non-coding RNA of Myxocyprinus asiaticus (Chinese sucker), 314 nucleotides long. RefSeq lists it as uncharacterized. The record is from RefSeq and is a predicted model, not a curated record. NCBI's taxonomy places the organism in Eukaryota, Metazoa, Chordata, Actinopteri, Cypriniformes, Catostomidae. The transcript is spliced from 3 exons.